Long non-coding RNA from Mirounga angustirostris (Northern elephant seal), 4863 nucleotides. RefSeq lists it as uncharacterized. The record is from RefSeq and is a predicted model, not a curated record. The transcript has 3 exons. Lineage: Eukaryota; Metazoa; Chordata; Mammalia; Carnivora; Phocidae.
AAAAGUUGGCAAAGGAUCUGAAUACACAUUUUUUCCCUUUUUUUUUUUUUAAGAUUUUAUUUAUUUAUUUUGACAGAGAGAGAGAGACAAUGAGAGAGGGAACACAGCAGGGGAGUGGGAGAGGGAGAAGCAGGCUUCCCACUGAGCAGAGAGCCCACAUGGGGCUCGAUCCCAGGACCCUGGGAUCAUGACCUGAGCUGAAGGCAGAUGCUUAAUGACUGAGCCACCCAAGGGCCCCUGAAUACACAGGGACAUACAAAUGGCCAGUAAGCACAUGAAAAGAUACUCAACAUCAUUAACUAUCAGGGAGAUGCAAAUCAAAACCACGGUGAGAUACCACUUCACACCCAGUAGGAUGGCUAUGAUCAAAAGAAAGAGAAUAACAAAUAUUGGUAAGGAUGUGGAGAAACUGAAACCUCAUACACUGCUAGCAGAGUUGUAAAAUAGUGCGGCCACUUUGGAAAACAGUCUGGCAGUUCCUCAAAAGGUCAAUCAUAGAGUUACCACAUGACCCAGCAAUUCUACUCCUAGGUGUAUACCCAAGAGACAUGAAAACAUAUGUCUACACAGAAGAUUGUACACAAGUGUUCACAGAAGCUUUAUGCAUAAUAGGCAAAAAAUGGAAACAACCCAAAUGCCCAUCAAUUGAUGGGCAGAUAUACAAAAUGUGGCAUAUCCAUGCAAUGGAAUAUUAUCCAUUCAUAGAAAGGAAAUGAAGUCCUCAUACAUGCUAAAACACAGAUAAACUUUGAAAACAUCAUGCUAAGUAAAAGAAGUCAGCCACAAUAAGGAAAUCACUUAUUGUAUGGUUUCAUUUAUUUAAAAUGCACAGAAUAGGCAAAUCUUUAGAGACAGAAAAUAGAUUAGUGAUUGCCUAGGGCUGGGGGAAAUGGGGAGUGGCUGUUAAUGGGUAUUAGGUUUAUUUUGGGGAUGAUGAAAGUGUUCUAACAAUUAUGUUGAUGGUUGCGUUCUCUGUGAAUAUACUGAAAACCAAUGUAAAUAAGUGAAUAGUAUGGAAUGUGAAUUAUAUCUCGAUAAAGCUAUUAUAUAUAUGUUAAAAACCCUAGCAUGGUCUCUGCCCUUGUGGAAAACAUAAUCUUUCUGGGAAGAUAAAUAUUAAUCAAAUAAUUAUACAGAGAGAUUUAUAGUUACAAAUUAUGAUAAGUGCUAUGAAAGGAACGAACUGGAUAUUAUGAAAGAGAAUAGCAGGAGGCUAAUGGGGGUUAGCGAAGAGGUAUUAGAAAAACUGCAGCAUUCAGGUGCUCCAGCAGAGAUCCCCAAAUAGCACUGGCUUAGAAGAGGCAAAUGUUUAAUUCUCACUGGUGUGGUAGUGCAGGUGUAACCAGUCUAGGGCUCAUAUGGAAACCCUACAAUUUUUAAGGAUCUUCUAACCUGUUGCUCUUUUUCUCCCUUGGAGCGGCUCUCCACCAUGUCUACAGUCUAAGCAGUGAGAAGGAGAAAAGGGGCACAGGAAGGCUCAUCACUUCUGCUCAGAGCCAGAACUCAGUCACACAAGACUGGGGUGUACUGGGUGUUCAUGUGCCCAGACUAAAUUCUGGGGUUCUAUUACUGAAAGGGGGGACAAACAGAGGUUGGGUGAACGGUUAGCAGUCUUUGCCAUAGAUGGCCUCUCUGAGGAAGUGACAUUGAAGGUGAGAACCUAAGGAUGAGUUGCUGUUAAAGAGAGGGAAGAGUUUUGCAGGCAAAGGGGAUGACGUGUGUCAGGGACAGGAAGCAGGAAGGACCAGCUAUAGUGUUUAAUGCUGUUUAAUGGAGUGUGUGUCUACCACAACCGUCCCUCCCAAUGCUUAGAACUUAUGAGUGCUGUGACUUGACCGGGGUUCACCUGCCUUUUCUCUCUCGUAUCUUACAGGGCUGGGGCUGGCCAGGACUGCAAGGAGGGGGGCUUCGUGCUGACUCCAGAAGGCCGGUGUGUAUCCUCAGCUUUGAGAACUGAAUUCCAUGGGUUGUGUCAGUGUCAGACCUGUGAAGUUCAGUUCUUCAGCUGGGAUAUCUCUGUCAUCAUGGACUUAGGGAUCCUGCAGACAGCAGACCCAAGGGUGGCCGAAGAAUUUGGAAGACUGGAGACAGAAGGGCAAAGUCUCAGACUCUGAAGGAAUGGGGAGGGGGGCUCAUGGGAAAAGCACUCAUUUAAUUGUGAGAAAACUUGAGUUCUAUGCUGAGCAGGGUUCCAGCUAGCUAAAUGAAUGCUCUCUGCAAGUCAUUCUGGUUAUGGCUACUGCCAUAGUUUACAUAUAUUGAUUACUUAUGGCAAUCCAGGUGCUGUACUAAGUGCUUUACCUGCUGUUAGAGGAGACUCUUGGGGAAAGUCACGAACGAAGCUUGAGACACCUAGCACUGCCAUGCAAUGGUAUUUUUCCCUCUUUAUGGGAUCAGACAGAAUUAAUAGAAUGUUACAGUCAUUCUUUAGCAUGGACUGCUGAGAGAACUAGUCUCUCUUAAAGAUGAGAAUUAUGGGUACAUCCCUCUUAUGGUCCCCCUGUCCCUUUACUUGAAUCUCUACUUCCUUGCCUUCUAUAAAUACAUUAGGGAUACAUUGUGUCUUUAUAUUCCAAGCAAGGCAAAAAGAGGUUGUAAUUAGAUUUUACCAGGAUCCCUAGUUUCUCCCAGGGAAAAGGGAUACAGAGGUUUUGAAGGCUCCCUCCAUUUCCUGGCGUGGUUAGCUAUAUUUUGUGGGUCAAGAUCUUCUGUUGUCUUCCUCUGUCACCAAGUCAGUUAGGUCUAUUCUGAGGCUCAGAUUUGCUAUGACGAUGAUGACAAUUUCUACCUUUAGGCAAAGGGCUGGGACUGUAUAAGUAAUAUCUGGACUUUCAUUAGGUUUUAUAUCUGAUGGGGAAUAAAGAGUGUUCUUCAUCUCUUGGAAACUCAUCUUUGAUUCAUUGCUGUCUGUUGGUGUGCUGAAGUGUCCAUCUCUUUAUAGCCUACAGAAUGAAAGUGUGGUCUGGCCCGGAGAGGAGAGACACGCACAAAGCAUGUGCAUUCUCAUACCGGCUUCUCAGUGACACUGAGUCAGCGAUACUUCUUGUAAUCACACCAAGCCUCAUUUGGAAAAUAGGGACAAAGUAGCAAAAGGAUAUUGUAUAAAAAUGUGUAACUACAUUCAUGGAUGUAAAGGGGUGCUUGGUUCUUAUGAAAGCCCCCUGGCAUGGGUGUGGAGCCUGUGUGUGCUCUCUGGGCUAUACCGAUCAUCUCAAGAACCUCUCCCACCCCUCUCACCCUGCCCACUUCCGCCCUUUACUUACUAGACUCUUGGUCAGUGACUCAUUCUUGGACCAGAACAUUGGUGAAGCUCAACUGUGACCAGAGAUCAGUGUCCUUAGACCUAGACUGCUGGACAAAAUCCAGAAUUUACACCAGAAGCUCUACAUGCUCUGGGUUUCAGAGCAUCUGUGCUGUGAACACGAACUUAGACCCAGAACUCUGAUUUGCUACAAAAGUCUCAUCCUUACUAGAGAUGAACUCUUCUUAAAGCAAACCUGAGAAAUGAAAUAUGGAAUACACACAGACACAUACACACGUGUGUGCACACACAUGCAUUGAAAAAUAGCAUGAUAGGUCUGUGAGUAGUGGGUAAAUAUUCACUAUAUAUAAACUGUUUCAUUUCCUAAUUUGUAUUAAGAUUCCAUUAAGUAAUACAUAUCCCGAGGAGUUUUGAGGUUUUAUUUGUUUUGUCAAAACAUAUUUUAUAUAAGUAGAAAAAGCAGGUCACAAAAUAACUUAGAUUAUAUGAUUCAAUUUAUGUAAAAUUAUAAAUGUAUAUAGGAAUAUGUGCUUUGAAAGAUGUACAUGCGUUUAUUAACAGGGAUCAUCUCUGGGAUGGUGGGAAUUGAGAUGGGUUUUCUAUUCUUUGUAUUUUUCUCUAUUGUUUGAUUCUUAUACUGAGCAUAUUUAAUUAAAAUAAUGAAGUUAUUGAAGGAAAUUUCACACACAAUUGUGAUGAAUCUAGACAGUGCUAAUGUUGUGCAUUUGUUGGAAGUUAAGUUGCAGAGGUGUGCCACGGAAGAGGAGAGAGAGGUUCUUGAUGUGUUCAGUGAAGAAGAUUGCAGAAGACGCUGAAACUUUUCCAACCUGUGGAGUGGAAGUUGACUAGAAGAGAGGGAUUUGUGCCAGACCCAACUGGAAGUCAGAGGGCCAGGAGCCCAUUGAUGCACUUGGGCAGGUCAGCCUCUGGGGCCACAAAGCAGGAUGCGGAAGAGAGGAGAGUGGCUCGAGAGGAGCAAACGAAGGCAUCUAGCACAAGGGGCAAGCCAAAGCCAGUUAAGAAGUUAAGAUGACUGAAUUCAAGGUCCAGCUUUGAUGGUGUUGGGGAAACAGCAGCUCUUCCUCAUUCUCUUUCCCUGGCAGCCUUGGUCAGCAACCUCCUCUACCAGAAAAAUUAAUUCCAUGUCAGAGAUUCCUCAAGUUUGUAACAUGUAGCUUGAGACUUUUAUCUUGAUGACUUCCCAAAUGGACAAAAGGCUGAACCAUGGAGGGUGGUGGUACCCUCUUCCAGCUUUUCAGAGGAUUGGCAGAACACAUUGAACCCUACCUGUAGGAAGCUUUAUUUUAAAACGUCUAAGACAGGUCUGUCUGUUUUAAAAUUUCUUCUCUAAAAUCUAUUCAGCUUAAUCCUCCUUGUCAAAAACUGUGUAUCCUGCUAAACUGAGCCAUAAAUUACCACCACUAAAAAUCAUUUGCUUGCUUGCUUUAAGAAUUCUCAGUUUCUGGGGCGCCUGGGUGGCUCAGUUGGUUGGGCGACUGCCUUCGGCUCGGGUCAUGAUCCUGGAGUCCCGGGAUCGAGUCCCGCAUCGGGCUCCCUGCUCGGCGGGGAGCCUGCUUCUCCCUCUGACCCUCCCCCCUCUC